AGGGCGGCCUGGUUCCUGUCUUUCACCCGGGAUCUUUCGGCCUUUCAGUGGUACUAUAAAGAGCAAGUGCAAAGCUCCCAGGAGCGCGUAAGCAGAGCCACAGGAGAGGGUGGCUGGGAGGUGUUUGCUACACAGCUCUCCCAGGCUCAAUUCAAAAUCCUUCAGCAUAAGGAAAUACACACAAUUUGGCCCUGCAAUAUUUUUGAAAGAUUUGUAACCUUACCUGGAUUAAACUGUGCUUCAUGUUGAAAGAUUUUUCCUUGCCAAAAUACGCUGCUAGCGUAACUGCAAGAAGCUUUAUUUGCACUGCGUAACACUGCAAGAUAACAGACAGCUCUGAACAAGAUGGCCUGUGCAUCAAGCUACCAUUGAAGAGACUGGGGAUCUCAGCAUCGCAACCUCUGCAGGUCUGGUUGGCAGCGUCUCUAUGACAACUCCCCAUCAGCGAUGGGAGCGACAGUGGUUAUCUGUGUUGGCUGCUGACAUUUUGACAUCUGGGUCAACAACAGGUGAAGCCUCCGCAACCUGCUCAGAGGAGAAGCUUCUCACAGCCUCAUUUGCCUUGCCCACAUCGUACUACUGCCUGCCUUUCACACAGCGGGUGAUCACAGACCACACGCACUGUGCUGCCUCAGGGGCACCCUGGGCUGAGGGCAUGGUGGCAACCGGGGUAUCCAUGGGGUAAUGCCAGUGGGAGGACAGAGGGGGCAGAUCCAGUAGAGUAGAUAAAAAAAUACUACAAUCUCAACACAGUAUUACAUCUGCCCAUUGGUAAUGAUUUACUGAUUUACACAAGAGUACUUCAACUGCCGUCCCCCAACUAAUGCAACUGUUAUAAAAGCUUGUAGGAAAGCACAUUUUGGUCGGCACAUUUUUCCUACAGGCUUGAGGCACUAACUUCCUCAUCCUUUACUGGCACACACAUCCCCGCUUCCACCCAGCCUAGCACUGGGAACUCAACUCCUAAAAGCUGGGACCAGCUAUUUAUUUUGUGCAAUUGGCUAACACAUAUGAACGCAAAAAAGUUCCCCAAACAGCAGCAACAAAAAAAGCAACCAAGUCUCGACAUACCAGCAGCCACACCAUCCCGUUGCUUGAAGCACUGAUGUCUCUGU
Long non-coding RNA from Chroicocephalus ridibundus (black-headed gull), 1115 nucleotides. RefSeq lists it as uncharacterized. The transcript is spliced from 3 exons. The record is from RefSeq and is a predicted model, not a curated record. NCBI's taxonomy places the organism in Eukaryota, Metazoa, Chordata, Aves, Charadriiformes, Laridae.